UCUGUGUUUGGAACUGUGGUUAGUCCGCUCAGCCUGCGGAGCUGUAGGUUGCUGGUUCGAUUCCCCCCACCAGAU
This is a non-coding RNA of Dallia pectoralis (Alaska blackfish), 75 nucleotides long. The record is from the annotation of a GenBank genome assembly. Lineage: Eukaryota; Metazoa; Chordata; Actinopteri; Esociformes; Umbridae.